AAUGGCUGCAGUAAUUUGACUGUACAAAGGUAGCAUAAUCAUUAGUUUUUUAAUUAAAAGCUUGAAUGAAGGGUUGGAUGAAGAAAAAUCUGUCUCUUUUUAAUAUUUUUAGAAUUUAAUUUUUAAGUAAAAAAGCUUAAAUUUUUAUAAAAGACGAGAAGACCCUAUAGAGUUUAAUAAUUUAUAUUUAUUAAUUAAUUUAGAUUUAUUAAUUUUAUUUUUUAUAAAUUAUUUUAUUGGGGUAAUAGAAAGAUUUAAUUAAUUCUUUUUUGAAAAAAAAAUCAUUAAUUUAUGUAAUUAUGAUCCAUUAGUUUUGAUAAUAAGAUUAAAUUACCUUAGGGAUAACAGCGUAAUUUUUUUUAAGAGUUCUUAUCGAUAAAAAAGUUUGCGACCUCGAUGUUGGAUUAAAGAUUAAUUUAGGUGUAGAAGUUUAAAUAUUUGGUCUGUUCGACCAUUAAAUCUUUACAUGAUCUGAGUUCA
This 480-nucleotide ribosomal RNA is filed under the name Sardaphaenops adelphus. RNAcentral describes it as "partial 16S ribosomal RNA". The stretch from base 341 to 480 matches the Rfam family "Bacterial large subunit ribosomal RNA", at positions 2473 to 2613 of the family's 2925-position model. The record is from RNAcentral. Lineage: Eukaryota; Metazoa; Arthropoda; Insecta; Coleoptera; Carabidae.